This 152-nucleotide non-coding RNA is filed under the name Paramoeba aestuarina. Lineage: Eukaryota; Discosea; Flabellinia; Dactylopodida; Paramoebidae. The record is from RNAcentral.
UACACCCACUGCAUACAAAGGACAGAAUCUGAAAGAACAGCAGCAUGCAAAAGCCCAAAUUUGUUGAAUUUUGUUUUUUUUUCCAAAUGCUUUUGUAAAAUUGUUUUGUUGUUGUGUUCGAACCAUUGUAAACUUUCAUAACAACCUGCAGC